RNAcentral lists this ribosomal RNA (253 nucleotides) under uncultured bacterium. RNAcentral describes it as "partial 16S ribosomal RNA". It matches the Rfam family "Bacterial small subunit ribosomal RNA", at positions 524 to 776 of the family's 1533-position model. The record is from RNAcentral.
UACAGAGGUCCCGAGCGUUGUUCGGAUUCACUGGGCGUAAAGGGGGCGUAGGUGGUGAGGUAAGUCGGAUGUGAAAGCUCCAAGCUCAACUUGGAAAUGGCAUUGGAAACUACCUUGCUAGAGGGUUUGAGGGGGGACUGGAAUACUUGGUGUAGCAGUGAAAUGCGUAGAUAUCAAGUGGAACACCAGUGGCGAAGGCGAGUCCCUGGAAAACUCCUGACACUGAGGCACGAAAGCUAGGGGAGCAAACAGG